RNAcentral lists this ribosomal RNA (301 nucleotides) under uncultured bacterium. RNAcentral's name for it is "partial 16S ribosomal RNA". It matches the Rfam family "Bacterial small subunit ribosomal RNA", at positions 509 to 807 of the family's 1533-position model. The record is from RNAcentral.
CAGUCGCCGCGGUAAUACGGAGGGUGCAAGCGUUAAUCGGAAUUACUGGGCGUAAAGCGUGCGUAGGCGGCUUCUUAAGUCGGAUGUGAAAUCCCUGAGCUUAACUUAGGAAUUGCAUUCGAUACUGGGAAGCUAGAGUAUGGGAGAGGAUGGUAGAAUUCCAGGUGUAGCGGUGAAAUGCGUAGAGAUCUGGAGGAAUACCGAUGGCGAAGGCAGCCAUCUGGCCUAAUACUGACGCUGAGGUACGAAAGCAUGGGGAGCAAACAGGAUUAGAUACCCCAGUAGUCCCUGUCUCUUAUAC